RNAcentral lists this unclassified non-coding RNA (247 nucleotides) under Hevea brasiliensis (rubber tree). The record is from RNAcentral. Lineage: Eukaryota; Viridiplantae; Streptophyta; Magnoliopsida; Malpighiales; Euphorbiaceae.
GACGAGAUCAACGUCAUUCUCAACGACGGCACCAAGAUCAAGGCCGAACUGAUCGGCAAGGACAAGAAGAGCGAUCUCGCUGUCCUGAAGUUUACGCCGCCGGAGAAGAAGAUCACCGCGGUGAAGUUCGGCAAUUCCGACAGCCUGCGUCUCGGCGAGUGGGUGAUAGCCAUCGGCAACCCGUUCAGCCUCGGCGGCACGGUGACGGCCGGCAUCGUGUCGGCACGCAACCGCGACAUCAAUUCCG